This 375-nucleotide ribosomal RNA is filed under the name Triticum aestivum (bread wheat). Its description in RNAcentral is "partial small subunit ribosomal RNA". Lineage: Eukaryota; Viridiplantae; Streptophyta; Magnoliopsida; Poales; Poaceae. The record is from RNAcentral.
AUGGCACUGGAACAAGUUUUCUCGGACCGUGAUAGUGAAGAUGAAGUUGAUGAUGACAUCGCCGAUUUUGAAGAUAAACGGAUGCUUGAGGAUUUUGUUGACGUCACAGACCAUGAGAAACUUAUUAUGCAUAUGUGGAAUUCAUUUGUUCGGAAACAAAGGGUGCUAGCUGAUGGUCAUAUUCCUUGGGCCUGUGAGGCAUUCUCCCGGCUUCAUGGAAAACAUCUUGUACAGAAUCCUCCUCUACUAUGGAGCUGGCGUUUCCUUAUGAUUAAACUCUGGAACCACAGUCUAUUAGAUGCCCGCACCAUGAAUGUCUGCGGCACAAUUCUUCAAGGCUACCAAAAUGAAAGCUCGGACCCCAAGAAAAUGUGA